CGUAGGCAGCGAGCGUUGUUCGGAGUUACUGGGCGUAAAGGGUGUGUAGGCGGUUCUCUAAGUUUGGUGUGAAAUCUCCCGGCUCAACCGGGAGGGUGCGCCGAAAACUGGAGGGCUAGAGUGCGGGAAGGGGGAGUAGAAUUCCUGGUGUAGCGGUGAAAUGCGUAGAUAUCAGGAGGAAUACCGGUGGUGUAGACGGCUCUCUGGACCGCGACUGACGCUGAGACACGAAAGCGUGGGUAGCAAACAGGAUUAGAUACCCUGGUAGUCCACGCCCUAAACGAUGCAUAUUUGGUGUAGGUCGUUCAGUUGAUCUGUGCCGGAGCUAACGCGUUAAAUAUGCCGCCUGGGGAGUACAGUCGCAAGGCUG
RNAcentral lists this ribosomal RNA (370 nucleotides) under uncultured organism. RNAcentral describes it as "bacterial SSU rRNA". It matches the Rfam family "Bacterial small subunit ribosomal RNA", at positions 526 to 896 of the family's 1533-position model. The record is from RNAcentral.